UGCAUCUUCUGUGGCAAGAACAAUGGAUAUCUGUAUGUGAUAUUAUUUUGACGUAUAGCAUCACUAAACGGACCAUUUAGUUUGAGUUAGUUAGGUAAUAAGCUCGCUCAAUAAUAACAUGCUUGUUAUUCUUGUUAUUAUUGAUUAGUCCAGAUUUAUUGAUUCUACGUUAAAUAUUAUCACUUUCACAAUACUUCUACAGUACAAUAAAAUAUGUAUAACAUUUGCAUGUGUCGAUUAAAAUUGGUUGCAAAAAUCAAAUAGGGUGUUUGUGGUUGUUUGGCUUGAUUUAGUAAACAAACCGAGCUACCAUCAGAAUCGACCAAAAACUUUUUCAAGUGGAAAAAAAUGCAUCGGACCAAGUGGAAAUGUACAGGAGAUCGCUAUUGCCAUUUAGUAAGAACUGGUUAUUCGGUUUCAAAAUGUGGCAACGAAACCUUUCGGUAAGGAAGCAUACGAUAGAAGAAAGGACGAAAUUACCUCAACACUAAAUGAAUAUGUAACCAAAUAUAUAUUGACAUAAAUUCUGCCAGAUUGAAAAAAAAACAAUGUCCAGGAGCAAAAAUUAACAAACAAAAAAAUGAAAUGUAAAAAUAUAAUAGUGAAAAAAUAUAAAAAUAUUUCGUUAAUAAAUAAAGCAAUAUUUAUUUA
Long non-coding RNA from Armigeres subalbatus, 651 nucleotides. RefSeq lists it as uncharacterized. The transcript has 3 exons. The record is from RefSeq and is a predicted model, not a curated record. NCBI's taxonomy places the organism in Eukaryota, Metazoa, Arthropoda, Insecta, Diptera, Culicidae.